This 393-nucleotide ribosomal RNA is filed under the name uncultured bacterium. Its description in RNAcentral is "bacterial SSU rRNA". It matches the Rfam family "Bacterial small subunit ribosomal RNA", at positions 30 to 425 of the family's 1533-position model. The record is from RNAcentral.
AUUGAACGCUGGCGGCAUGCCUUACACAUGCAAGUCGAACGGCAGCGGACCUUCGGGUGCCGGCGAGUGGCGAACGGGUGAGUAAUAUAUCGGAACGCACCUUUCAGUGGGGGAUAACGUAGCGAAAGUUACGCUAAUACCGCAUAUUCUGUGAGCAGGAAAGCAGGGGAUCGCAAGACCUUGCGCUGAUUGAGCGGCCGAUAUCAGAUUAGCUAGUUGGUGAGGUAAAGGCUCACCAAGGCGACGAUCUGUAGCGGGUCUGAGAGGAUGAUCCGCCACACUGGAACUGAGACACGGUCCAGACUCCUACGGGAGGCAGCAGUGGGGAAUUUUGGACAAUGGGCGCAAGCCUGAUCCAGCCAUGCCGCGUGAGUGAAGAAGGCCUUCGGGUUG